GACAUCGGUACCCUACAGUGACUCUCGGUACCAACGCGUCUCUGCUGGGAUGGGGAGCCAUUUGCUCCGAUCUACGUACCCAAGGGGUAUGGAGUCACCGGGAUUCCAGGAACCACAUCAACUUCCUGGAACUUCUUGCUGUUUUCAAAGCCCUGCAAUUGUUCGAGGACAUGCUUCUCCACCAGGUCGUCCAGGUGACCUCGGACAACAUGGCUACGGUCUUUUAUUUGAACAAACAAGGGGGAACCUGGUCCCAGAAACUAGCCCGCCUAUCCAUGCAGAUUUGGGACUGGUGCAUACCGAGAGGUAUCACUCUUCUAGCAGUUCAUCUUGUGGGCACGGACAAUAUAGACGCAGAUCUCUUGAGCAGACAUAUGUCACGGUCACACGAAUGGGAACUAGACCAUCGGGUUCGCGACAGACUGUUUCACCGCUGGGGUCAGCCAGACAUAGACCUGUUUGCCACACAACAAAACAGGGUAUGCACGAACUAUUGUUCCAGAGCGGGGAUAGGACAGGGGUCAUCUGGGGGAGCUUUCAUGAUCCCCUGGAACGACAUGACUUUUUACGCUUUCCCACCGAUUCCCCUCAUCAUGAGAGUGUUGGCAAAGAUCAUUCACAAAGGGGCCACAGGGCUACUAAUUACCCCCUGGUGGCCACGCCAGCCAUGGUUCUCAACUCUCCUUCACAUCUCUCGGGAGGAUUUUCUCCAACUCCCUCUUCUUCCUUAUUACCCAGAGGGAGGGCACGAUCCGACACCCAGACUUCUUGUCGCUGAAACUGACUGCAUGGAGGAUCCGAUAACCAUAUGUGAUGCACCGGUGUCGACGCCACCGGCGAUCCCUACUACCUCUACGCCACAGAUUUUACAUCCAGAUCUGCGAUAUAUUCUCAAAUCUGCGUUACAGCCAUCCACUAGAAAAUCGUAUGCAGUGAAAUGGUGUAGAUUCUCUAGCUUUGCCGAAUCACACUUGUUUCCAGCGUCCUCGGCUUCUGUUCAACAGAUUCUUCAACUCCUCUUCGAAUUGCAUCAGUCUGGACUUAAACCUUCUUCCAUAAAAGAAUAUACAGAAGCGAUUUCUCAUUACCGUGGAACUGUACACGGUUUCUCCAUUUUUUCUCAAACUUUGAUUAAAAGAUUUUUGAGAGGAUUGAGUAACCUCCAUCCAACAAUAAGGCCCCUGAUGCCCACUUGGAGUCUUUCAGUGGUUUUACAAGCACUGACUCGACCACCUUUCAAACCGAUGGCGAUGAUCGAUCUACGCCUUGUCUCAUGGAAGACUGCUUUCCUCGUUGCAGUUACUUCAGCCCAUAGAUCCUCUGAACUCUGUGCCCUUAGGGUGGACCCCCCUUUUCUGAAUUUUCAUAAGGAAAAGGUAGUUCUACGGCUGGAUCCGUCUUUUCUUCCGAAAAUCGCUACUUCGUUUCACAUGCAGCAAGAGAUGGUUUUACCAGCCUUCUUUCCAACCCCUUCGAAUCCGAUAGAGAGAUCUCUGCAUAUGCGGGACGUUCGUCGUUCCUUAGCCUUUUAUAGGUCCAGGACUGAGUCUGUUCGACACUCCAAUAGACUUUUUGUGAAAUACUCGGAACAUGACC
Long non-coding RNA from Varanus komodoensis (Komodo dragon), 1596 nucleotides. Lineage: Eukaryota; Metazoa; Chordata; Lepidosauria; Squamata; Varanidae. The record is from Ensembl.